This is a long non-coding RNA of Octopus sinensis (East Asian common octopus), 420 nucleotides long. RefSeq lists it as uncharacterized. The record is from RefSeq and is a predicted model, not a curated record. The transcript has 3 exons. Lineage: Eukaryota; Metazoa; Mollusca; Cephalopoda; Octopoda; Octopodidae.
GUAAAGAAAGAUUGAUUAAAGCGAACGACCAGCCAACCAACCAACCAACCAACCCACAAAGGAACCAACGAAACCACCAACAUUUAUAUCGGACAUUAUGAUAUUGAGAAAGAUACGCAAAUAAACCAAAAAUAAAACCUGUCAAGUUUUAUGUCCAGAGGCGCCAACCUAAAAUAAGAAUCAGGGAAACGCUGAAAUAGAAUUUUUUUAUGGUGGAUUUAAUCCAAUAAAAUAAUUAUUGACAGACUGUGUUCAUGCUGUGGCCAUGAAGAAUUUUAGUCAAAGGGAUCGAUUACAGCACUUAGUUUUAAAACCUGGUACUUAUUCUCUCGAUGUCUUUUGCCGAACUGCUGACUUACGCAGUCGUAAACACACCAAUACCGGUUGUCAAGCGUGGGUGUGAGAGAUCUAACGCACAAA